Molecule: ribosomal RNA, 468 nt
Filed under: uncultured bacterium
Lineage: Bacteria
Description: partial 16S ribosomal RNA
Rfam family: Bacterial small subunit ribosomal RNA
Source: RNAcentral
GACGAACGCUGGCGGCGUGCUUAACACAUGCAAGUCGAACGGAAAGGCCCUGCUUUUGUGGGGUGCUCGAGUGGCGAACGGGUGAGUAACACGUGAGUAACCUGCCCUUGACUUUGGGAUAACUUCAGGAAACUGGGGCUAAUACCGGAUUGGAGCUCCUGCUGCAUGGUGGGGGUUGGAACGUUUCGGCGGUUGGGGAUGGACUCGCGGCUUAUCAGCUUGUUGGUGGGGUAGUGGCUUACCAAGGCUUUGACGGGUAGCCGGCCUGAGAGGGUGACCGGCCACAUUGGGACUGAGAGACGGCCCAGACUCCUACGGGAGGCAGCAGUGGGGAAUAUUGCACAAUGGGCGGAAGCCUGAUGCAGCAACGCCGCGUGCGGGAUGACGGCCUUCGGGUUGUAAACCGCUUUCGCCUGUGACGAAGCGUGAGUGACGGUAAUGGGUAAAGAAGCACCGGCUAACUACGUG